This 427-nucleotide long non-coding RNA is filed under the name Cyanistes caeruleus (blue tit). Its description in RNAcentral is "lncRNA (ENSCCEG00000007007.1)". The record is from RNAcentral. Lineage: Eukaryota; Metazoa; Chordata; Aves; Passeriformes; Paridae.
GGAUGAACAUGUUAACCCUUUCCUUGCCACACCCAAUUAAGCUCCCAACUGUUGGUUCCUGCUCUUCAGCUCCAUCCAAGGAGGUGAAUACUGGCUGUAUAACAACCUGGCUAUAACCACCAUGCCAAAUUCUGCUGUGCUAUUGGUUUGUUAGAUAUAGGAAGGUGUUGACAAGAGCAAAAAUGUUGCUUGAUUGUUGAGAAAAUGCCUCUGUGAGAGGUUUUAAUGGCUUCUUCCACUCACAUGAAGAUAAUAAAUACAGAAGUGAUAGAAUGGCUGGGAGAAGCUAAAGGAAUACCACAGAUGAAACUAAAAGGUACUAUAAAUAUUUUUUAUUUGCAUCAGUAUUCAGAUAAUAUUAACUGAAAACAGAGUCUCAUUAUCAGGUGCAAUUUACCAUCCAUAGUAAAAGAGAAUUUCUGUCCAA